Molecule: ribosomal RNA, 255 nt
Filed under: uncultured bacterium
Lineage: Bacteria
Description: partial 16S ribosomal RNA
Rfam family: Bacterial small subunit ribosomal RNA
Source: RNAcentral
UACGUAGGGUGCGAGCGUUGUCCGGAUUUAUUGGGCGUAAAGAGCUCGUAGGCGGUUUGUCGCGUCGGCCGUGAAAUCUCCACGCUUAACGUGGAGCGUGCGGUCGAUACGGGCAGACUUGAGUUCGGUAGGGGAGACUGGAAUUCCUGGUGUAGCGGUGAAAUGCGCAGAUAUCAGGAGGAACACCGAUGGCGAAGGCAGGGUCUCUGGGAAUGAUCCUGACGCUGAGGAGCGAAAGCGUGGGGAGCGAACCGG